CGUUGCGGCGGCUACCAUGCAGUCGAGCGGGGGAGGUUGCUUCGGUACUUGACUUAUCGGCGGAGGGUGAGUAAUGCUUAGGAAUCUGCCUAUUAGUGGGGGACAACAUUCCGAAAGGGAUGCUAAUACCGCAUACGCCCUACGGGGGAAAGCAGGGGAUCUUCGGACCUUGCGCUAAUACAUGAGCCUAAAUCGGAUUAGCUAUAUGUUGGGGGAAAGGCCUCCCCAGGCGACAAUCUGUAUCGCGUCUGAGAGGAAGAUCCCCCCCACUGGGACUGAGACACGGCCCAGACUCCUACUGGAGGGGGCGGUGGGGAAUAUUGAACAUGGGGCGGGAGCCUGAUCCAGCCAUGCCCCGGGUGUGAGAAAGGCCUUUUGUUUGUAAAGCACUUUUACUUAGGAGGAGGCUCUUAGUGUUAAUACCCUUAAUGAGUGGACUUGACUCUCACAAAAAAAACCGGCUAACUUUAUUCCGGGACCCCCCACCACA
This 490-nucleotide ribosomal RNA is filed under the name Acinetobacter calcoaceticus. RNAcentral describes it as "partial 16S ribosomal RNA". It matches the Rfam family "Bacterial small subunit ribosomal RNA", at positions 37 to 525 of the family's 1533-position model. The record is from RNAcentral. Lineage: Bacteria; Pseudomonadati; Pseudomonadota; Gammaproteobacteria; Moraxellales; Moraxellaceae.